Molecule: long non-coding RNA, 420 nt
Organism: Heterocephalus glaber (naked mole-rat)
Lineage: Eukaryota; Metazoa; Chordata; Mammalia; Rodentia; Bathyergidae
Source: RefSeq, a predicted model, not a curated record
GCAACACGAAAUCAGUUGAAAUCUACUUUCAGUAUUUGCUUAAAAAAUCUGUUGAGCAAUGCAAAGAACAUUCAUUGAAAAAUAUCCAGUGGGAAAAUGGGAGCCAGACCCUAGUGAAAGCUGUUUUGGCUCAAGCUAGAGACCUGAAGAAGUUGAUCUGGUGAAAGGCGGAAGGAUUUGGAUGGCAUCCGAUGUCAAGAGGAAGCUGGGAAUCCACCUUUGGGAUUGGAUGGAGAUAGAGCCCUUCUGAUACCACGUAUAUUGAAAGAAUGGAAAAAAUCAUUUUCUCCUUUCACCUCUCUUCUCUUCCCUCUCCCUUCUCACUUCUCUUUCUUCUCUUUCCCCCUGUCUCUCCCCUCCCUCUCCUUCCUGUGCACAGCGUCAUCCAGGCCUUCUAAUAAAGAGUUUGGUUUCUUUCUA